GCUCAGCACCUCCAUUUGUAGGAAGAUGGGGAUAGAGGGAUUUGGAUGGAGCUGGUAGUACUGCUGGUGGUUUCCGGGGUGAACCCAUUCCCAGGGGAAGGGCAGCACCCACUCUGCCUGAUGCCAGGAGGCAAAGUCCCCAGGGAAGGCAGCCAAGCUUCUGCUGAGCACAUGCUGAAUUACUGAGAGGAGGAAUCUUAAGGGUGCAGGUGGAGUGCAAAGUAUUACAGGUGGUUGGCAUUCAGGGUAAAGGGCCUCCAGAAGAAAAGAAUGGGAUAAAUCUCUGUCUAGAACAGGCUGCCCCAGUGCCACCUGCUGCUCUCCAGCCUUUUAAGCCCUCAGCAUGGCCACCAAAGCACAGGGACAUGCCCAGCCCUGCACUGCGCUUAAGGGGCUCAAAUGCAGCAGAGGAUGCAACAUGUUCUGAGAAACUUGGGCUCUUGCGUCAACUACUUUUGGCUUCUUACGGGCAGAACAUCACAACGUCACUGGGAAUGAGAAUAUUUUGGAAGAUACCUCAAAGAAAUGUCAAGCUUCUGGUUGCAGACACCGGUGCCAGGUGAUCUUUUUGCUAUUAAAUGAUGUCCUAAGAUUAAAUUGUAGCAUCAGGCAGUGGUGAGAACCAUUGUAGACUGUCAUGGUAAUCACUGAGGAGCCCAUUUUAGGGAUUGGGAGAGCAGAGAGGCGCAUUGCAGCUGGCCAUGCUGCUGUGUGGCGUCAAUGAAGCCUUUGUUCAAAGGCUUGGUAAUUUAAUAUAAGAUGAACAAGAAAGAUGAAAUAAUCAAGGUGGAGAGGAAGCCAAGGGCUGGAGGAAAACAUGAUGCGUACCAGAGCUGCACGGAAUGAAGCUUAUAUUCCUAAUUAACAAGCUCACUUGUCUCAUUUCUGCUCAACCCCCCAUGUUAGCCUUUUAAAUAUAGAAAGCUCCUCCUUUGCUGUGUAUGCAGCCAUCCCGGCACCGCCAGCCAUGUCGGCUGCUUUGCCACAGGUUGUAUUUUCAGAACCGCUCGAUGGGUGGAUGAACAGCUUCCUCUUUAUUGCCAGCUCUUCAGCUUUGGGGGAAGAAAAGGAAUAAGAACUGUCAUGAAGAUGGCUACAAAAAAACCACCCCCAUGGCUUUUAGAAAGGAAACUGUAGGGGUUUUAUUUGCUGCUUAGUUUGAGAAAUGAGAAGUUUGUAGGCUUGUAGUUUUUUUUCCCCACAUUUCACCCCCACACAGCCCAGGGCUGGAGAAGUACUAUAUUGUUUUUAAAUGAAAACAGAGUGUUUUUCACAAUCACGUGGCUGUGAGAUGUGGGGCUUUGCUGCUGUAAUGCUGCCCAUCAGCAGCCACCUGCACAAGGACCAUCGGGUUUCAGUCCUGCUGGAAGCAAAGAGCAAAGUCUCUCCCCUUCUGUUUAGGGCACGGAGAAGUAAUAUUUGAUAUGAAAACCACGGAAGUGAUUUACAUGUCAUUACGAUUGUUGACAGAGGUUUGAUGUACAAAAGAGUAUAAAUCAAAGAGUUUGUUUGGAGAAAUUAUCACUAACAAGCGAGAACAGAGGGGUAUAACCUGGAUUUACG
Molecule: long non-coding RNA, 1563 nt
Organism: Coturnix japonica (Japanese quail)
Lineage: Eukaryota; Metazoa; Chordata; Aves; Galliformes; Phasianidae
Source: Ensembl